GGUUAUCUAAUCUUCACAUGAGUUGUUGUUCCUCUGCCUUUUUUUUUUAAUUUGCUAAGAAUUUGGUUUCCAUCCUGUGGUUCUGUCUAUUUUUUAUAUGAUUAUAUUGUGGAUAUUGUUGCGGGCUGAAUGGUUUGUCAAUUUUUUUUCCUUUUAUUUUAUUUUUAUAUGUAAAUCGAAAUAUUUUUACAGUGCAUCGGUUUCAAUCCUAUUUCAACAUGGGAUUUCUAUUCUCACUUUCCACAUUAGUCAGCAAUCCACAAAUUUAAGGACUAAAUUUUGAAUUACAUUAAAUUCGAAUGCUAAA
This 307-nucleotide long non-coding RNA is filed under the name Solanum tuberosum (potato). Its description in RNAcentral is "long non-coding RNA (STUB_LNC003813)". Lineage: Eukaryota; Viridiplantae; Streptophyta; Magnoliopsida; Solanales; Solanaceae. The record is from RNAcentral.